UUAAACAAAAAAGAGCGUAGGGCGGAUGCCUUGGCACUAAGAGCCGAUGAAGGACGUGAUAAGCUGCGAUAAGCUGCGGGGAAGAGCAAAUAUCUAUUGAUCCGCAGAUUUCCGAAUGGGGAAACCUACUGCAGAAGACCUGCAGUGACUGUGCGUAAAUCCAUAGCGUACAGCCGGGAACCCGCUGAACUGAAACAUCUAAGUAGGCGGAGGAAGAGAAAACAACAGUGAUUCCGUAAGUAGUGGCGAGCGAACACGGAAGAGCCCAAACCGCGGUGCGUGCACCGCGGGGUUCGGACUGCAUAAGGGAAUUGAAUGGUUACCGGAAGGACUUUGGAAAAGUCCGCCACAGAGGGUGAAAGCCCCGUACGGGAAAACGAUUCGAAACUCGGCAGGAUCCAGAGUACCACGAGACACGUGAAACCUUGUGGGAAUACGGGGGGACCACCCCCUAAGGCUAAAUACUACUUAGUGACCGAUAGUGCAUAGUACUGUGAAGGAAAGGUGAAAAGGACCCCGGGAGGGGAGUGAAAAAGAACCUGAAACCCUAUGUUUACAUGCAGUGGAAGUGCGAUACAUGAACGCACAACCGCGUACUUUUUGUAGAACGGUCCGGCGAGUUGCCGGUGCUGGCAAGGUUAAGGACUACAGGUCCGGAGCCGAAGGGAAACCGAGUCUUAAUAGGGCUUACAGUCAGCAUCGGCAGACCCGAAACCGGGUGAUCUAUCCAUGUCCAGGUUGAAGUUCCCGUAAAAGGGAAUGGAGGACCGAACACACAUCCGUUGAAAAGGGUGGUGAUGAGGUGUGGAUAGGGGAGAAAUUCCAAUCGAACCCGGAGAUAGCUGGUUCUCCUCGAAAUAGCUUUAGGGCUAGCCUCGACUUAGUCAGACGGAGGUAGAGCACUGAAUUCCUGAGGGGGCGUCAAAGCCUACCAAGGGAUAUCAAACUGCGAAUGCCGCACUGAUGAUGGUCGGGAGUCAGACUGUACGAGAUAAGUUGGACAGUCAAAAGGGAAAGAGCCCAGACCUACAGCUAAGGUCCCAAAAUACGUGUUAAGUGGAAAAGGAUGUGGGAUUUCGAAGACAGCUAGGAUGUUGGCUUAGAAGCAGCCACACAUUCAAAGAGUGCGUAAUAGCUCACUAGUCGAGAGGUCCUGCGCCGAAAAUUUCCGGGGCUAAAACACGAUACCGAAGCUUAGGAAUGUAGCAAUACAUUGGUAGAGGAGCAAUCUCAGAGUGCCGAAGCGUUACCGUAAGGAAGCGUGGAGUUCUGAGAAGAGAGAAUGCCGGAAUGAGUAGCGAGAAUGAUGUGAGAAUCAUCAUGGCCGAAUAUCCAAGGAUUCCAGGGUAAAGCUGAUCUGCCCUGGGUAAGUCGGGACCUAAGGCGAGGGAGAAAUCCGUAGUCGAUGGACAGCAGGUUCAUAUUCCUGCACCUGACAUGAUCAGAACUGUGGGGACACAGGAACAAAACCGGACCCGGGAGAGCAAAGACCGGGCGAAGCGAAGUUAGGAGUGCGGUAGGCAAAUCCGCCGCACAAUCCGAAAGCGUGAUAGGGAGCGAAAAAUAAGUAGCGAAGCCGGUGGAGGGACUGUCGAGAAAAGCCGCUAUUGUAUCAUGUCAGCCCGUACCGCAAACCGACACAGGUGGAUGAGGAGAGAAUCCUAAGGCCGGCGGGAGAAGCAUUGUUAAGGAACUCGGCAAAAUGACCCCGUAACUUCGGGAGAAGGGGUGCCAUCCUCCGGGAUGGCCACAGAAAAUAGGCUCAAGCAACUGUUUAGCAAAAACACAGGUCUAUGCGAAACCGAAAGGUGAGGUAUAUGGGCUGACGCCUGCCCGGUGCUGGAAGGUUAAGAGGAGAGGUUAGCGCAAGCGAAGCUUUGAAUUUAAGCCCCAGUAAACGGCGGCCGUAACUAUAACGGUCCUAAGGUAGCGAAAUUCCUUGUCGGGUAAGUUCCGACCCGCACGAAAGGCGUAAUGAUUUGAGCGCUGUCUCAACAAUGCACCCGGUGAAAUUGAAGUACCAGUGAAGAUGCUGGUGACCUGCGCCAGGACGGAAAGACCCCAUGGAGCUUUACUCCAGCUUGAUACCGGGAUUCGGUGUUACUCGUACAGGAUAGGUGGGAGGCUAAGAAGGAAGGACGCCAGUCUUUCCGGAGCCGCUGUUGGGAUACCACCCCUGUGGCACUGGAUUUCUAACCUACAUCCGUAAUCCGGAUGGGGGACAAUGUCAGGUGGGGAGUUUGACUGGGGCGGUCGCCUCCGAAAGUGUAUCG
Molecule: ribosomal RNA, 2273 nt
Filed under: human metagenome
Description: bacterial LSU rRNA
Rfam family: Bacterial large subunit ribosomal RNA
Source: RNAcentral